This is a long non-coding RNA of Paramacrobiotus metropolitanus, 174 nucleotides long. RefSeq lists it as uncharacterized. The record is from RefSeq and is a predicted model, not a curated record. The transcript has 3 exons. NCBI's taxonomy places the organism in Eukaryota, Metazoa, Tardigrada, Eutardigrada, Parachela, Macrobiotidae.
ACUAUCGAAGACGUACGGAUGUCAAUAUGAGCGUUCUCAUUGCAGCCGGUUGCACGGAGAUCUUCAAUACAAAUCGUUUGGUUGCUGAAUGGAAUCUUUUUGUGAUGACCAGUGUAGCAAGCGAUGCCGUUCAGACCAACAAAGAAAUCACCCCCACGUGGGUGUCCUCCUCUG